UUAUUUUAUUUUAUAAGAAAUGAUUCGGUACUUUAUUAUUAAAAAAUAAAAUAAAAUUUAACCGUUGAUUAAUAGAGGGUAAAAGUGUAAUUUUAAUAUUUAGCAGAUAAAUGAGUUACAUCAUUCGAAGUUAUUUCGGUAAUUAAACUAUACAUCAUUUAAAGAAACUUUUAAUUGAUAUUCUAAAUUUAUACAUUAAUUUGCACUAAUUUAGGAAAUUGAUUGAUUACCCUAAUUUAGGCAUUAAUUAGGUAUUAAUUUACAAAUUUAGUUUAGAAAUUUACGAAUUUAGUUUAAACAUAAAAAUUAAAAAGAUUAGAAUUACUAUUCAGAAAAAAAGGUUAGAAAUUUGAAUUCGAAUCUGAUUAACAAUCACAAAAUCUAUUUCUAAACUCGAUGGAUUUCAAAAAUCCAUACCUAAACCCGAAACUAACCAAUUUUUUGAAAUCCAAAACCAAAUCCAAACCGUAAGACUGGAACCCGAAAUAAUUAUUUCUUUUUACCAUAUUUCAAAAUAUUUUAUAUUAAAUUUAAAUUUUUAAAAUAUAAAUUCGAAUAUAAUAUUAAACUUUAUAUAUGAUUCGGGUUGGAUUCAAGAUGGAUAUAGAAAAAAUCCAUAGUUGGUUCACAAAAUAAUCUCAUGUUCUUGUUGUCAAAUAAUUUGAAAUUUUUCUUAUAUGAAAUACCAAAUAUGAGAGGAAAGAUAGAGAGAGAAAAAAGAAAUAAAGAGAGAAUAAAAUUCUAAUAAUAUAAUAGAGAUAAAAUGACUAAAUUGCUCAUGUAUUAAAAAAUAAAAAUAUUCUUUUUUGAGAUACCUGGUGACCGGUACCAUUCCUAAAAUGACCUGCUAUUGCAGGUCACAAUUUUAAGAAAAUUAAAUCUGUACCGUUGAGUGGGAGUGAUUGAACGGUAAUGGAAAAAAAAAAGUAUAGAAGCAUUACUCUUAUUUUAUAUAGAUACUGAUAUAGAUAUAUAGAUAGAUA
This 983-nucleotide long non-coding RNA is filed under the name Ananas comosus (pineapple). RNAcentral describes it as "long non-coding RNA (ACOM_LNC041793)". Lineage: Eukaryota; Viridiplantae; Streptophyta; Magnoliopsida; Poales; Bromeliaceae. The record is from RNAcentral.